AUCCUCAAUGCUAUGAUUGGGUUCCAAAAAACCCCCCCUAAGAAAGGUAAAAAAGACAUCUCUUCCUUAUUAUGCUCCCCUGAAGAGGUGGCUGAAAAUAACGUUCAUAUUCCCUUAAGGUAACAUUCAUACUUACAAAAUAUUUCCUAGAGGGAGGAUGAUAACACUUGUAACCCUUUUGAGUGCUAGAAUAACGCACAAACACACAUUUUUGGGCCCUAGGUUCUAGUUUCUCAAUAU
Molecule: unclassified non-coding RNA, 240 nt
Filed under: Hevea brasiliensis (rubber tree)
Lineage: Eukaryota; Viridiplantae; Streptophyta; Magnoliopsida; Malpighiales; Euphorbiaceae
Source: RNAcentral